Molecule: ribosomal RNA, 492 nt
Filed under: uncultured bacterium
Lineage: Bacteria
Description: partial 16S ribosomal RNA
Rfam family: Bacterial small subunit ribosomal RNA
Source: RNAcentral
AGUGAACGCUGGUGGUAGGCCUAACACAUGCAAGUCGAACGGCAGCACAGUAAGAGCUUGCUCUUACGGGUGGCGAGUGGCGGACGGGUGAGGAAUACAUCGGAAUCUACUUUUUCGUGGGGGAUAACGUAGGGAAACUUACGCUAAUACCGCAUACGACCUACGGGUGAAAGCAGGGGAUCUUCGGACCUUGCGCGGUUGAAUGAGCCGAUGUCGGAUUAGCUAGUUGGCGGGGUAAAGGCCCACCAAGGCGACGAUCCGUAGCUGGUCUGAGAGGAUGAUCAGCCACACUGGAACUGAGACACGGUCCAGACUCCUACGGGAGGCAGCAGUGGGGAAUAUUGGACAAUGGGCGCAAGCCUGAUCCAGCCAUACCGCGUGGGUGAAGAAGGCCUUCGGGUUGUAAAGCCCUUUUGUUGGGAAAGAAAAGCAGCAGGUUAAUACCCCGCUGUUCUGACGGUACCCAAAGAAUAAGCACCGGCUAACUUCGUG